RNAcentral lists this ribosomal RNA (254 nucleotides) under uncultured bacterium. RNAcentral's name for it is "partial 16S ribosomal RNA". It matches the Rfam family "Bacterial small subunit ribosomal RNA", at positions 524 to 776 of the family's 1533-position model. The record is from RNAcentral.
UACGUAGGGUGCGAGCGUUGUCCGGAAUUAUUGGGCGUAAAGGGCUCGUAGGCGGUGUGUCGCGUCGGCCGUGAAAACCUGCAGCUUAACUGUGGGCUUGCGGUCGAUACGGGCAUCACUGGAGUUCGGCAGGGGAGACUGGAAUUCCUGGUGUAGCGGUGAAAUGCGCAGAUAUCAGGAGGAACACCGGUGGCGAAGGCGGGUCUCUGGGCCGAUACUGACGCUGAGGAGCGAAAGCGUGGGGAGCGAACAGG